Gorilla gorilla gorilla (western lowland gorilla) is the source of this 1843-nucleotide long non-coding RNA. The record is from Ensembl. NCBI's taxonomy places the organism in Eukaryota, Metazoa, Chordata, Mammalia, Primates, Hominidae.
CGAAGCGUCGGGCCCACCCCGCUGCGCCGCAGGCCGUGCACCGCCACCCCCGGACCCUCCCCCGCAGGUACGCUCCCCUCUGGCCUGGCCGUGGUCCCCACUCCCGCCCCGGAAAAGGGUUCACCUGAGGCCGCAGGGACAGCCAAUGAGAAGUCCCCUCGGCCCCGCCAGCCGCCGCUCCCUACCCCCGAGCGACCCCCGGUAGCGUCCCCAGUGCCAGCCCCCGCGCGGGUGCCCGCGUCCCGGCCCGGAGGAGAGGCGGGACGACGGCGCGUCCUCUCCCCGCAAGAUUACCUCGCAGCGCGUAGCCGGCUUUGUGUUUCCCCUCCCUCCUUCUCCGCAGCCGCCCGGGCUGCAGCAGCCGCCAGAUCCGCCGCUGCGGCCGCCUCUUAAGCGCCGCAGAGCCCCAGAGGGCGACCGUUACGGGCUGGCGACUCGCGCUCUGGCGGGACUAGGCGAGCGCCCCUCGAGCGUCCCUUGGUCCCGCCCCCUAACGCCCCGCCCCUAGGUCCCCAAGCUCCCCCCCUGGUCACGCCCCCAAGGUCCGCCCCUCGCAGCCCCCUACGCCUCUGGCCCCGCCUCUUGGGCUCCGAAGCCUCCCGGCCCCGCCUCCUCAAGACCUCGCCUCUGGCAGCCCCGAGCUCUCUCUGGCCCCGCCCCGAGCGCCCCUCGGGAGUCCUGGUCCCGCCCCCGCAGCCCCCUCCGCGCCCUCAAGCGCUAAGUCCGUGAAGCCGCGGCGGUGGGGGCCUGCAGGCGCCGCACCCGGGCGGGGGUGGUGGGGGGCGGGGCCUGNNNNNNNNNNUGGUUCGGGGCGGCUGCCUGGCGCCUUUUCAACGUCCUCCUCUGGCUGUGCAGCUCGAAUCCGCGGCGUCCCCGGAGGGCCAGAGGGGGAAACGACCCCGAUAGAAACCCGACCGCGAAGGGGAGGAGGGGCUCCUCGGAAAUGUCUCCCGCCCUAAAUGAGCGAGCCCCCUACUCCUACUCCCGAGGCUGAGCCGCUGCUUUGAGUCAGCCUCGGCCGCCCACGCUGGCUGCUGGGGCUGUAGGGGGAGGCCACUGCAAAGGUUCAACCUCCGCACGCCCCCCGUGGGGCCUGGACUUUGCUCUCAGCACAGCUGCCUUCGCGGGCGCCUAGUCCCCACAACCCCUGCUUCACCUCCACAUAGGGGGAGGACAGGGGCUCUCGCUUCUGCUUCAUUUGGACCCCUCGAGAGUCUUCACUCCCGCUUUGGCUCCCGGCCUCUGAACCUUAUGAGAGCUCACUUCUUUGAGGCGAAAAGUCGAGGCAUCUCCAAGAACCUUCAAAAUGAAUGCGGGGCCGGGCAAACUUUGCAACACGCAAUUGCAGGGCUGUGGAUCCAUCCACAGGUGUGGAUUCUGCAAUGCUGCACAGAAACCUACUGCAGCCUCAGACCAACAGCAGCAGCAGCAGCAGCGGCGGCGGCAGCAGCAGCAGCAGCAUUAGCAGCAGCAGCUUCUCUCAAUGCUGAGUAGUAAAGUGUUUGACUUAGUAAACUCUACAAUUACCAUUAGGCGCUUGCUUAUAAGAGAGGAGGCGGAAUCUUUCUUAAAGGAAUGGGUUUUGUUUUUCCUCUCUAGUGUUGCUUCAUAAGAGGCAGAGAGGGUGGAAUCAGGGAGUUUUGUGGAGUGAGUAAAUGAGUACAGCUGUGGGAGGUCAAGGUUAAAAUUAACUGGGUGGUUGAGGAAUGGAGGCAAUGAUUUUAGUGUAAGUCAAUGAAAUGCUAGAAGCACCAGUUUUAAAGAGCCCUGCUGAUUUCAAACAUUGGGGUAAUGGCAAAAUAAAGUUGUAUGCCUUGAAACUGAUUAGUAAUUUGUGCUAAUA